RNAcentral lists this non-coding RNA (30 nucleotides) under Homo sapiens (human). The record is from RNAcentral. Lineage: Eukaryota; Metazoa; Chordata; Mammalia; Primates; Hominidae.
UCCUCGCGCCCUGAUGGUAGCCAAUCUUCC